AACGAACGCUGGCGGCAGGCUUAACACAUGCAAGUCGAACGCCCCGCAAGGGGAGUGGCCGACGGGUGAGUACCGCGUGGGAACAUACCCUUUCCUGCGGAAUAGCUCCGGGAAACUGGAAUUAAUACCGCAUACGCCCUACGGGGGAAAGAUUUAUCGGGGAAGGAUUGGCCCGCGUUGGAUUAGCUAGUUGGUGGGGUAAAGGCCUACCAAGGCGACGAUCCAUAGCUGGUCUGAGAGGAUGAUCAGCCACAUUGGGACUGAGACACGGCCCAAACUCCUACGGGAGGCAGCAGUGGGGAAUAUUGGACAAUGGGCGCAAGCCUGAUCCAGCCAUGCCGCGUGAGUGAUGAAGGCCUUAGGGUUGUAAAGCUCUUUCACCGAUGAAGAUAAUGACGGUAGUAGGAGAAGAAGCCCCGGCUAACUUCGUG
This 431-nucleotide ribosomal RNA is filed under the name uncultured bacterium. RNAcentral describes it as "partial 16S ribosomal RNA". It matches the Rfam family "Bacterial small subunit ribosomal RNA", at positions 29 to 507 of the family's 1533-position model. The record is from RNAcentral.